UACUCCCUGUUGCCGUUUUUUAUCCUUUUUGUGAUCUGUGGUGCUAUGCUAUGUUCAUCUUUUUCUUCACUCUUUACCUUUACUAUUUUGAUUUUAUCCACUCUUCUCCUCUUCAAAGUCAUAAAGAGAAAACUGAUUACCAGUACUGGUGAUGAUCUAGCAAGAGAAGAAGUUG
This is a long non-coding RNA of Telopea speciosissima, 175 nucleotides long. RefSeq lists it as uncharacterized. The record is from RefSeq and is a predicted model, not a curated record. Lineage: Eukaryota; Viridiplantae; Streptophyta; Magnoliopsida; Proteales; Proteaceae. The transcript has 3 exons.